UGAGCAAUCUGCCCUUCACAUCGGAAUAACCAUUGGAAACGAUGGCUAAUACCGAAUAUGACUUCGGAUCGCAUGAUCUGAAGUGGAAAGCUCCGGCGGUGAAGGAUGAGCUCGCGGCCUAUCAGCUUGUUGGUGAGGUAAUAGCUCACCAAGGCGAUGACGGGUAGCCGGCCUGAGAGGGUGAUCGGCCACACGUGGGA
This 200-nucleotide ribosomal RNA is filed under the name uncultured bacterium. RNAcentral describes it as "partial 16S ribosomal RNA". It matches the Rfam family "Bacterial small subunit ribosomal RNA", at positions 118 to 319 of the family's 1533-position model. The record is from RNAcentral.